This 130-nucleotide ribosomal RNA is filed under the name Staphylococcus aureus. RNAcentral's name for it is "partial 23S ribosomal RNA". It matches the Rfam family "Bacterial large subunit ribosomal RNA", at positions 1 to 130 of the family's 2925-position model. Lineage: Bacteria; Bacillati; Bacillota; Bacilli; Caryophanales; Staphylococcaceae. The record is from RNAcentral.
GAUUAAGUUAUUAAGGGCGCACGGUGGAUGCCUUGGCACUAGAAGCCAAUGAAGGACGUUACUAACGACGAUAUGCUUUGGGGAGCUGUAAGUAAGCUUUGAUCCAGAGAUUUCCGAAUGGGGAAACCCA